CAAAAUUCAUAUAUUAUUAUCAUAAAAAAGAAUUCAUACAUCAUUUGAAUAUAGUCAAAAUUCAACAAAUGCUCCAUCUAAUACUAUUAUGCCUUACAAAAAUACUAAAUAUAUUAAAUAUGCAACUAGCUAGCCAUCUGGUACAAUUUUUCUUGUGAAUUCACAAGCUUCUUCAGCUCAACGUACGACUCAUUUAAUCCACCACAAACCUGCCACAAAAGCAUACAAAGAGCCAACCAAGAAUAUCAGCAAGAUAGCUAUAAUAACAUCAUGUCCAAGGGUUGCCAUCUUCCCCAUGAGUACAGCCGAAAAUGUACCUGAUAUACCAAGUGCAAGAAUGUUGCACGUACAGAACACAAUCGCUAGGAGCCAUCCUCUACAGAAAGCAAUAAUAAAGCCUCCUAAGAAUGUCGAAGAAAAUUGAAUGAAUUUUUCCACCUGUGAUGAUCAACUUAUGUUUAGGAAUCUUUACCAAGCUUUUACAAUGAUUAUCGUGCUUACAUAAAAAGUAGCAGCUUAAGAGCUUACUUUUUUGCCCAUGGCAUCUUGAAUGAGGAUCGUAUCACCAGACAUUCUCCCAAUGAUCUCUCCCGUUAACAAAUGCGUGCUUUUUCUACAGUAAAUUUAUGGCAAUAAACGUAUUUAAGCUACGAUGGCAUUCAAACACAGGAAACAGAGCAAGUACUCACGUAGAAGUGAAGCAACACCAGCACCAAAUCAUUCCAAAGAACUACAAUUAUUCUGCUCCACAUCACACCAAAAAUUUACAUAAUUAAUUAAGAUGAACUUAAGUAAUGACAAGAGGAAGAGGAAUAUGAGAUGGAACUGUAAGACUCACGAUUUUCCAGCACCACUCGUUCCCAUAACCACUGUAGCUUUGCUUGUCCAAUGUUGGUAGCAUCAUAUAAUUACUAAGAUUAUAAAAAAUAAAUGACUAAUCAACUCACUGAUUUCAAUUAUGUAUACCUUUAUUAAAUGUCAUCUGAUAUACCUUUAAAAUGCAUANCCAUAACCACUGUAGCUUUGCUUGUCCAAUGUUGGUAGCAUCAUAUAAUUACUAAGAUUAUAAAAAAUAAAUGACUAAUCAACUCACUGAUUUCAAUUAUGUAUACCUUUAUUAAAUGUCAUCUGAUAUACCUUUAAAAUGCAUAUAUAAGAUCUCUCUUUCCCAUCAAAUAGUUGCUGUCAAAUUAACUAAAUUACUAAAACUUCACAAUGAUUCAAUAAUGCAAAAAAANGGAAUGACCAUACUAAGAGAAGUCUCCACACAGCUAGACGCACACAGGGAGUCGCAAUUAAAAAUCUCUUCCACAUUAUGAGGUUGACUUAGUGAUAAAACAAAAAAAAUUAC
RNAcentral lists this long non-coding RNA (1351 nucleotides) under Salvia miltiorrhiza (redroot sage). RNAcentral's name for it is "long non-coding RNA (SMIL_LNC004718)". Lineage: Eukaryota; Viridiplantae; Streptophyta; Magnoliopsida; Lamiales; Lamiaceae. The record is from RNAcentral.